This 395-nucleotide ribosomal RNA is filed under the name uncultured bacterium. RNAcentral describes it as "bacterial SSU rRNA". It matches the Rfam family "Bacterial small subunit ribosomal RNA", at positions 28 to 430 of the family's 1533-position model. The record is from RNAcentral.
GACGAACGCUGGCGGCGUGCCUAACACAUGCAAGUCGAACGGAGCUCCUUCGGGGGCUUAGUGGCGAACGGGUGAGUAACGCGUGAGAAACCUGCCUUUCAGUGUGGGAUAGCGGUUGGAAACGACCGGUAAUACCGCAUAAUGUAUUUUAGGGGCAUCCCUUUAAUACCAAAGAUUUAUUGCUGAAAGAUGGUCUCGCGUCUGAUUAGCUAGAUGGCGGGGUAACGGCCCACCAUGGCGACGAUCAGUAGCCGGUCUGAGAGGAUGAACGGCCACAUUGGGACUGAGAUACGGCCCAGACUCCUACGGGAGGCAGCAGUGGGGAAUAUUGGGCAAUGGGGGAAACCCUGACCCAGCAACGCCGCGUGAAGGAAGAAGGCCUUCGGGUUGUAAAC